This is a long non-coding RNA of Sinocyclocheilus grahami, 2613 nucleotides long. The record is from Ensembl. NCBI's taxonomy places the organism in Eukaryota, Metazoa, Chordata, Actinopteri, Cypriniformes, Cyprinidae.
GCUCAAGCUGCUUCUCUGCCACUUCAGUUUUUCCAGCGCGUCUUUUCCACCACUUCCCUAAACCUCGUCGGCGUGUUCUUCUGCAUUUUCAUCACCUCGAGACGCUUUCAGUCCAGAGCAUUUACGGCAGCCGGAGGUGUGUGGCAUUUCUCAUCCUCACCAGGGGUUAACGGAUCCUUUCCGUUGCUGAGCUUUGAAAAUGGCUGUAUUCUCCCUGCUUGUUGCUUGUCUCGGAGAAGGGAGGCGCCUGGAGUUCUAUCACUUUAGCGCCACCCUUUCUCUCUCUCUCUCUUUUGCCCUCCCUCUCUCAUACACACACAUACAGUUCUUCUUUCUCUCUCUCUCGCUCUUUCCCUGUCUCUGAAAGGAGAGCGGGAGGGCGGUGCGGUGUCGGAGCUUUUUCUGGGACAGGUGCCAAUUCCAAACAAAAGACAUAAAAAGGCAAUGAGUGAAAGCUGCCUCGAUCGUAAGAAAGAAAUAUGUUGCACGAUGAAACGCAAGAAGUUUGUGGCGACCGUGUGCAUGUGCGGUUGUGCGCGUUCGACUGAAUAGAAAUGUUUGAAGCUAAGAUUUGAAAUACUUUUCUUCUCUAUCUCUCUCACAACACUCUCUCACUCCUCUGGUGCUCUUGAGCCACUGAAGGCUUUUCAGUCAUGGGGGGGGAGGAGGGGAGGAGGCUUGGUUUUCAAGCUCCUGAAUUAUUCAUACGCCUGGGCCAACGCUGCGAUCGGACUGGCUGGGACAUUAACAUGCAGUGGACAUUCUAUUUGUCUGUUUGCUAACAUUCCUCAUUCAAAGACUUGUUAACUGCAAGACGGGCCGACACACGCGUCUCUCGGGUUGCUAUUGUGGCCAAAACCCGGUCGUCCUAGACCAGGGGACCGCAGGCUGACUUGUAGCCCGGCGCUGGGGACAUGCAGCUGGGGUGGGAGGAUUGGCUUGGCCCCCUGGCCUACCUCCUUCAGUCCUUGUGCCUGCUGUGGAAAGCUCACUGCUUCUUCUUCUCCUUCUCCUUCUCUCUCUGUCUCUCUCACUCUCACUCUCCUUCAACACAGGGCUGGUGAAGUGAGUAGAAAAGGCCUUCAGCACUUGUCCUGGAAUGUUUCUAUCUACAGGCACAUGUCAGUGUUAUCGGGAUGGCAAACCCAGAAGGUGACCGUCUACCUUUCUCAUGUUGGUGACCUUGAUGAUUUUGAAGUAUCUCUGACUGAAGCUUUGGAGAUAGAAGGUGAUAGGGGGCUGUAUUUGGUGCACAGCAAAGCCUGUUGUAUGACAAAGAGUUUUAGCCCACAAAUUUACACUUCAUUUCACAUUUUAGGUAUCUGUGGUACCUAAUGCUGUCACUGUCAUGUGAUUUGUUAGAUACUGUACAGUCAUUAGGCAUUUUGUUAGAGAAGGUAAAACAGGAAAUGGAAGCUGCUGUUGCAGGAAGAAGAAGAGAGAGACUGUCGUUUGGGGUGAGGUAGUAGGUUGUAUAGUUUGAGGGUUUAACCCUUGCUGUCAGAUAACUAUACAACUUACUGUCUUUCCCGAAGUGACCGUAGUGCCAUCGCUUCAGAACAUGUCACAUGGAGGAUGUCAACAGGAAAGAAGAAAUUACACAUUUCCAGGUUCCAGUAUUAAUGUGUUUAUCUAAGAUAUGCUUGAUGCAGACUUAAAUGUUUAUCAGAUAUUUACAAUAAAAGAAUUAAAAAACAUGGUUCAUGCCAUACUGUCAGCGUUACCAAAAACACUUCUGAAAUUUGUGUUAGAAAUGCAUUAUUGCAGCUUUGAUUUUGCUGCAUCACAUGUUGGUCAAGCAUUCACGUGAAUCCAUAAAGAGGACAGUAUACGCAGCGAGUGACGAUAACAAUAUGGCAAUUUAAAAAAAAAAGACAAAUUUGUCAUGAUAGUGAUGCUGUUGAACAUCAUUCAUUCUGAAAUCUCUUUUCUUUCUUGUAUUGGCAUAUUUCCUUCUGAAACAGAACGUUUGAGUAGGGCAUAUUUUUAAAUAGCCAAUAGUCUUCAGUUACAUCACAGUCAUGACAGAUUUUGAUUGGACAAAAUUCAAUGUAGUGAAGCUUGUCAAUAUUUGUGGAAGAAACAAAAGACUAAACUAAGGAAUACAGAAGCAUGUAGGUGGGUUCAAAGCUAACAAGAACUGCAAAACUUUGAAACGAUGUCUAUAUAAGUAUAAAUAAUAAUAUAAAAAGGUAUACAUAGUAUACUGCAUUAUUGAUUAGAAUUCAAAAGGUAAAAAUAUGUCGUUUUGUUGUUGUGGAAUAUUCAGCAAUGAUGUUCGUACAGGGUGAGGUAGUAGGUUGUGUGGUUUCAGGGUUGUGUGUUUGCCCCAUCAGGAGAUAACUAUACAACCUACUGCCUUCCCUGAAGGGCAGCAAAACAUCACCAGACACAGUUCAUCCACUCUUUGAAGAGUGAUUUCCUUUCGCUUUUCUUAAAUGUUUUAGUUUCCCAAGAUUCUAAUUAUGAUGAUCCUGCCAUUUAUAGCUGUAUGAGGAUUUCAUACAGCACAGGUGUGUAAUACUUUAAACGAGAAUAAAACAGUUUGAUAUUUCAAAGAUUGCCUGUUUUUUUAUUCUUUGCCUCAAGCAUGAUAUUGACGUUCAUAAUGGA